Molecule: transfer RNA, 82 nt
Filed under: Candidatus Wolfebacteria bacterium
Lineage: Bacteria; Candidatus Wolfeibacteriota
Description: tRNA-Leu
Rfam family: tRNA
About the family: Transfer RNA (tRNA) molecules are approximately 80 nucleotides in length. Their secondary structure includes four short double-helical elements and three loops (D, anti-codon, and T loops).
Source: RNAcentral
GCCCUCGUGGCGGAAAUGGAAUACGCGUAGCGUUUAGAACGCUAUCUCGCAAGAGUUGGAGGUUCAAAUCCUCCCGAGGGCA